GUUCUUGGUCUGUCUCCUCCCCUCUCACUGCAGACAUGAAACACUGGCUGAGAAACAUCCUGAUUCUGACUCUCUGGAUAGAGUGUAAAGGAGAAGACAAAGUGACCCAGCCAACAGGAGAUGUCACUGCUGUUCAAGGACUCACACUGACUCUACAAUGUACAUUUGAGACCAGCAGCACUAAUCCAACUUUGUUUUGGUACAAAAAGGAAGUGAAUGAUUAUCCCAGAUACAUGCUUUAUAAACACAAAUCAGGAUCAGAAACAGUUAAAGCUCCUGAGUACCAGGACGUCAGAUUUGAUGCCAAGAACAACCAGACCUCAUUUCCUCUGAAGAUCCAGAAGCUUCAUGUGUCAGACUCUGCUGGGUACUACUGUGCUGUGAGGCCCACAGUGACAGGAAACAGCAAAACUCUGAACAAAAACCUCUGGAGCAAAGACAACACAGUACUACACAACAUCCACUAGAGGGCGACAUCAUCAGGUCGGUGCUGCGUGACUUGUGCACUGUGUUCAACCAUUCAGUCAAUAAUAACUGCUGCUGUGCAGAGAACAGUUCUCACACUGAAUGUUGAACAUCAGCCACUUUGUCCUGUUGAUUUC
This is a non-coding RNA of Sphaeramia orbicularis (orbiculate cardinalfish), 602 nucleotides long. The record is from the annotation of a RefSeq genome assembly. Lineage: Eukaryota; Metazoa; Chordata; Actinopteri; Kurtiformes; Apogonidae.